GGGAUUGUGGCUCAGGGGUAGAGCGCUUGCCUAGCAUGUGUGAGGCCCUGGGUUCAAUUCUCAGCACCA
This 69-nucleotide transfer RNA is filed under the name Ictidomys tridecemlineatus (thirteen-lined ground squirrel). RNAcentral's name for it is "Spermophilus tridecemlineatus (thirteen-lined ground squirrel) tRNA". It matches the Rfam family "tRNA". Rfam says of the family: Transfer RNA (tRNA) molecules are approximately 80 nucleotides in length. Their secondary structure includes four short double-helical elements and three loops (D, anti-codon, and T loops). Further hydrogen bonds mediate the characteristic L-shaped molecular structure. tRNAs have two regions of fundamental functional importance: the anti-codon, which is responsible for specific mRNA codon recognition, and the 3' end, to which the tRNAs corresponding amino acid is attached (by aminoacyl-tRNA synthetases). tRNAs cope with the degeneracy of the genetic code in two manners: having more than one tRNA (with a specific anti-codon) for a particular amino acid; and 'wobble' base-pairing, i.e. permitting non-standard base-pairing at the 3rd anti-codon position. The record is from Rfam by way of RNAcentral. Lineage: Eukaryota; Metazoa; Chordata; Mammalia; Rodentia; Sciuridae.